AGUUUCCUGGAAUUGAUGUUUUGUUGGCAAAUUAUCCCCCGUCACUACCCAAGCGCCUGUUGGCCAAGUUGGUGCCGGUAGUUCAGAUAGGAGUUAUUGCAAUUGUGAUGGCUGGUGAGCAGAUUUUUCCAAUGCUGGGCCUCAUGGCACCACCUCCUUGGUAUUAUUCUUUGCGUGCAAAUAAAUUUGGAACAAUGGCGUCGACUUGGCUACUUGGUAACGCA
Molecule: unclassified non-coding RNA, 224 nt
Filed under: Hevea brasiliensis (rubber tree)
Lineage: Eukaryota; Viridiplantae; Streptophyta; Magnoliopsida; Malpighiales; Euphorbiaceae
Source: RNAcentral